GGUGAUAAUCACGGGUCCGGCCAUGCUUCCCACGUAGGUUUGGCCAAGCCACCUGACCAGGAGGUGGAAGUGCAUCAGGCUCCAGGCAGGUUUGCAGAAGGCUUCCUGGAGUGUCAGAGAGAAAGUUCUCUGGGGCUCUAUAACCCCGAACGUGGACAAGUUGAGGCCUGCACCUGGCUCUAGGAUCCAACCAGUGCACGGUCUAUGCAGACCUGGCCAAGUGUCAUGCUGUUGUAGCCAAGACUGAACUUGGUGUUCUUUAUUUGCAGAUAUUUAAAUAUAACCCAGUUUUUCUUCACGUAUAUAGUAAAUCUCUUUAUUACUUAACCCUGUUUUUCACUCCUGCAGUUUGAAAGUCAGAAAAGUGACAGUGUCCUGACUGCAGGGAUUUUUUUUUUUCAUUAAGCCUGGGGUCUCUAAUAAG
This 424-nucleotide long non-coding RNA is filed under the name Cricetulus griseus (Chinese hamster). RNAcentral's name for it is "lncRNA (ENSCGRG00015034086.1)". The record is from RNAcentral. Lineage: Eukaryota; Metazoa; Chordata; Mammalia; Rodentia; Cricetidae.